Molecule: ribosomal RNA, 793 nt
Filed under: uncultured Flavobacteriales bacterium
Lineage: Bacteria; Pseudomonadati; Bacteroidota; Flavobacteriia; Flavobacteriales
Description: bacterial SSU rRNA
Rfam family: Bacterial small subunit ribosomal RNA
Source: RNAcentral
CAGCAUGUCCCGCAGCAAUGCGGGAUGAUGGCGACCGGCAAACGGGUGCGGAACACGUACACAACCUUCCUUUUAGUGGGGAAUAGCCCGGGGAAACCCGGAUUAAUACCCCGUAACAUAAUGAAGUGGCAUCACUUUAUUAUUAUAGCAGCAAUGCGCUUUAAGAUGGGUGUGCGACUGAUUAGGCAGUUGGCGGGGUAACGGCCCACCAAACCUACGAUCAGUAACUGGUGUGAGAGCACGACCAGUCACACGGGCACUGAGACACGGGCCCGACUCCUACGGGAGGCAGCAGUAAGGAAUAUUGGUCAAUGGACGCAAGUCUGAACCAGCCAUGCCGCGUGGAGGAUGAAGGUCCUCUGGAUUGUAAACUUCUUUUAUCUGGGAAGAAAUCCACGAAUUCUUUUGUGGUUGACGGUACCAGAUGAAUAAGCACCGGCUAACUCCGUGCCAGCAGCCGCGGUAAUACGGAGGGUGCAAGCGUUAUCCGGAUUCACUGGGUUUAAAGGGUGCGUAGGUGGGCAGGUAAGUCAGUGGUGAAAUCUCCGGGCUUAACUCGGAAACUGCCAUUGAUACUAUCUGUCUUGAAUACCGUGGAGGUUAGCGGAAUAUGUCAUGUAGCGGUGAAAUGCUUAGAUAUGACAUAGAACACCAAUUGCGAAGGCAGCUGGCUACACGAAUAUUGACACUGAUGCACGAAAGCGUGGGGAUCAAACAGGAUUAGAUACCCUGGUAGUCCACGCCCUAAACGAUGGAUACUCGACAUACGCGAUAUACUGUGUGUGUCUGAGCG